CAGUAGCCACGGUAAUACAGAGGGUGCGAGCGUUAAUCGGAUUUACUGGGCGUAAAGCGUGCGUAGGCGGCCUUUUAAGUCGGAUGUGAAAUCCCUGAGCUUAACUUAGGAAUUGCAUUCGAUACUGGGAAGCUAGAGUAUGGGAGAGGAUGGUAGAAUUCCAGGUGUAGCGGUGAAAUGCGUAGAGAUCUGGAGGAAUACCGAUGGCGAAGGCAGCCAUCUGGCCUAAUACUGACGCUGAGGUACGAAAGCAUGGGGAGCAAACAGGAUUAGAUACCCCAGUAGUCCCUGUCUCUUAUAA
Molecule: ribosomal RNA, 301 nt
Filed under: uncultured bacterium
Lineage: Bacteria
Description: partial 16S ribosomal RNA
Rfam family: Bacterial small subunit ribosomal RNA
Source: RNAcentral